Molecule: long non-coding RNA, 2089 nt
Organism: Gasterosteus aculeatus aculeatus (three-spined stickleback)
Lineage: Eukaryota; Metazoa; Chordata; Actinopteri; Perciformes; Gasterosteidae
Source: Ensembl
CCUGGUUUUGAGAGGUUGGCCAGCGUUACAAAGUGUUCCUUCAGAAAGGCUUCCUGGUCUGGAGUCUGGGGAACCAGUUGAGAGGUCAUGACAUCUGGUCCUCCUCCUGCUGCGCCUCCUCCGUCCUCGUCCUCCUCCAGCUCAGAGGAGUUUCCAUCCACACUGAGAGGCUCUGAGUCUACGAGGACGGAGACAGGUUAGGGGUGAGAGACAGACAAGAGAGGUCUGUCUGCCUCGCUUCAUCUGUCUGUCUCACCGUUUCCUGCAGGUUUGUCUCUCUGUAUCUGUCCAUGUCCUGCAGGUUUGUCUCUCUGUAUCUGUCUAUGUCCUGCAGGUUUGUCUCUCUGUAUCUGUCUAUGUCCUGCAGGUGUGUCUCUCCGUAUCUGUCUAUGUCCUGCAGUUUUGUCUCUCUGUAUCUGUCUUUGUCUCUCUGUAUCUGUCCAUGUCCUGCAGGUUUGUCUCUCUGUAUCUGUCCAUGUCCUGCAGGUUUGUCUCUCUGUAUCUGUCUAUGUCCUGCAGGUGUGUCUCUCCGUAUCUGUCUAUGUCCUGCAGGUUUGUCUCUCUGUAUCUGUCUUUGUCUCUCUGUAUCUGUCCAUGUCCUGCAGGUUUGUCUCUCUGUAUCUGUCUAUGUCCUGCAGGUGUGUCUCUCCGUAUCUGUCUAUGUCCUGCAGUUUUGUCUCUCUGUAUCUGUCUUUGUCUCUCUGUAUCUGUCCAUGUCCUGCAGGUUUGUCUCUCUGUAUCUGUCUAUGUCCUGCAGCUGUGUCUCUCCUUAUCUGUCUGUCUCCCGGUGUCGGUCUCACCAUCUCCUGCAGGUCUCACUGGACUGGACAGCCUGGAGCUGAAUCCCAGUGAGCAGCCGCUGUCUGGACUGGGUUUGUCCUGAUGUUUGUCUGCAGCAGUAGGACACGCCUCCUUCACCUGGAACUCACUGACAGGAAGGGGCAGCGUUUAGAGGGGCGGCGUUCCAACAUCCUACAAGCAGAAUUUAUUCACCUGGGACAAACUACUUCCUAAAAUGGGACAUUGAACUCUGACCCUGUUUAUCAUAUUCAAUUAAUUGUCCUUAAAUCCUUUUGUAAGGAGACGGUGUAAAUAUAAACGACCUGAUGACCUGCUUGUGUUUCAAUCUCUUCUCUCCUCUUUUUCUGCUUCUGUCUCUGCUGCCAAAAGCUCUUUCUACCGAUCCAGAAUCCAAUCUUCAUUUUCUAACCCAAAAAAACUAUUUUCGAUAUUCUCCAACCUCCUCCAACCCCCUAGUCCUCCUCCCCCCUUCUUCUGGGUGACUGUCACUACUUUACCAAGAAAAUAGCUGACAUACGCUCCUCUUUCUCAAACCCACCUCCUAUUUCUUGCUUCCCACUGGCUUCACCUCUAUCGCCCUCACUUUCCUCUUUCACCCCCCUGUCUCCUAACCAAGUUCUUACCCUAGUAACCUCUGACCCUCCGACCACCUGCCCUCUUGACCCCAUUCCAUCACAUCUUCAACGGACGCACCUAUCGGGUAACCUGGAGAGGAUCUGUGUUGAACCUUGUCCUCUUACUACUGGAGUUCCUCAGGGUUCCGUCCUGGGUCCCCUCCUCUUCUCUCUCUACACCAACUCUCUCAUUCGCUCACUUGGCUUCUCCUACCACAGCGAUGCUGAUGACACCCAACUAAUUCUCUCCUUCCCUCACUCGGAUCUCUGCCUGUCUGACUGACAUCUCUCAGUGGAUCCGCCCACCAUCUGAAAAUCAACCCCGACAAGAUGGAACUACUUCUCUUUCCAGGAAAAGAUUCUCCUUCACAGGACCUGACUGUUAACUUUGGCGACUCCGUGUUAACGUCCACUUUGACUGCAGGAACCUCGGCGUGACGUCGACAGCCGACUCUCCCUGACUCCAACAUCACUGACAACACCCUGUAGAUACUCGCUCUACAACAUGAGGAGAACACGUCCUCUUCUCACUCAGAAGGUACUGAUUCAGGCUCUUGUCGUCUCCCUCCUGGACCACUGUAACUCUCUCCUGCAGGUCUCCUGCUACCUCCAUUCCACCUCUGCAGCUCAUCCAGAAUGCAGCAGCUCCACUGGUCUUUAACCUUCCUAAGUUC